Molecule: ribosomal RNA, 1014 nt
Filed under: Blakeslea trispora
Lineage: Eukaryota; Fungi; Mucoromycota; Mucoromycetes; Mucorales; Choanephoraceae
Description: LSU rRNA
Rfam family: Eukaryotic large subunit ribosomal RNA
Source: RNAcentral
GCAUAUCAAUAAGCGGAGGAAAAGAAAUAACAAUGAUUUCCCUAGUAACGGCGAGUGAACAGGAAAGAGCUCAAAGUUGGAACCUGUUUGGUUUAGCCAAACCGGAUUGUAAACUGUAGAAGUGUUUUCCUGGCACGCCUAACGAAAAAGUCCAUUGGAACAUGGUGACAUAGAGGGUGAGAGCCCCGUAUUUUGUUAGAGCUGUUGUCUUUUGUGAUACACUUUCAAAGAGUCAGGUUGUUUGGGAAUGCAGCCUAAAUUGGGUGGUAAAUCUCACCUAAAGCUAAAUAUUGGCAAAAGACCGAUAGCGAACAAGUACCGUGAGGGAAAGAUGAAAAGAACUUUGAAAAGAGAGUUAAACAGUAUGUGAAAUUGUUAAAAGGGAACCGUUUGGAGCCAGACUGGCUUGAUUGUAAUCAAUCUAGAUCUCGAUCUGGAUGCACUUGCAGUCUAUGCCUGCCAACGACAAUUCAUUCUGGAGGAAAAAACUAGGAGGAAUGUGGCCCCUCGGGGUGUUAUAGACUUUUAGAAAAUACUCUGGUUUGGAUUGAGGAACGCAGCAGAUGCUAUUUGGCGAAGGUGCUGAGUGCUUUUAGUUUUAUUGGUUAGAAUUUCUGCUUCGGGUGGUGCUAAUCAAUACGAUUGGAACUCGCUUAGUUCACUUUUUAUCUGCUUAGGUUGUUGGCUUAAUGACUCUAAAUGACCCGUCUUGAAACACGGACCAAGGAGUCCACCAUAUAUGCGAGUAUUUGGGUGACAAACCCAUAUGCGCAAGGAAACUGAUUGAUACGAAAUCGCAAGAUGGCAGUAUCACCCGGCGUUGACGUUUUUAACUGAAGUGACUGAGGUAAAGCAUAUAUGAUGGGACCCGAAAGAUGGUGAACUAUGCCUGAAUAGGGUGAAGCCGGAGGAAACUCCGGUGGAGGCUCGUAGCGAUUCUGACGUGCAAAUCGAUCGUCAAAUUUGGGUAUAGGGGCGAAAGACUAAUCGAACCAUCUAGUAGCUGGGUCUGCG